CAGAAAAUAAUUUAAAUAAAAUAGUAAUUUUGGAUAUUACAAAUGGAAUAAUUAUUCCUUUUCUGA
RNAcentral lists this transfer RNA (66 nucleotides) under Thrips hawaiiensis. Its description in RNAcentral is "tRNA-Pro". Lineage: Eukaryota; Metazoa; Arthropoda; Insecta; Thysanoptera; Thripidae. The record is from RNAcentral.